This is a non-coding RNA of Biomphalaria pfeifferi, 267 nucleotides long. The record is from the annotation of a GenBank genome assembly. Lineage: Eukaryota; Metazoa; Mollusca; Gastropoda; Planorbidae.
UGUGUUCAAAUACACAUGUGUAAGAGUAACACAUCCAAAUCCAGCACAUUACCAGCUUGUUAGCGCCAGUACAUGAAAGUAUAUGUAAGGGUUUUAUUGUAAGUCAAAUAUAAGCCAUCAUGGCUGAGACUACAAACCAUUGAGAUUCAAGCUUGCACCCAUAGCCAAAACUUUAGACCACUGGCUCCCUUUACAUGACAUCAUCAUAUCAUCCGGUCAGGUUCACAAAACCUUAAACAUAAACCAAACACUAAAAAAACUAUAAUU